Long non-coding RNA from Ziziphus jujuba (common jujube), 1027 nucleotides. RefSeq lists it as uncharacterized. NCBI's taxonomy places the organism in Eukaryota, Viridiplantae, Streptophyta, Magnoliopsida, Rosales, Rhamnaceae. The transcript has 4 exons. The record is from RefSeq and is a predicted model, not a curated record.
UUUUUUUUUCCCCCUUGACUAUUUCAGUAAAGAAUUUUUCCUUUAUUGUCCAUUAUUAUCUUUGUGAAGGUUGUUGGGAAGGGCGCGAGAGCUUCAAAGGGAUCUUAAUCAAAUUGCCGAUACCACUGAUACAUAUUCUUCCGAGGGUUUAAGGCUUUAAGCUAUGUGUUGACAGGUUAUUCAGAUGCAAGUCAUCUCCUAAAAUACUUGACUGAUGUGCCUGUUGAAAUUCAUUGAUACCAAUUUGGUGUCAAUAUUGUUUCCUGUAAUGAAAGAUGUGCUCUCAGGUGGAUCUAAAGCGGAGUAUGGAGGAUUGUGAGGAAUGCUUCAAUUAACUUGCUAGUGAAGAACGGGGUAAAUUUGACGAAGAGAAACUUGUCAGUGUAAACAACAUAAGUACAUAGUGAUUACAAUUUUGGUGGCUGCUGACGGGGUACGUGAGUUGCCCGUCAUCAGUGGGAGUGAGAACUUGAAGGAAGCUUUACAAAAGCUUGGCUUCAUUCCCUCCAGCAGGAUACUUGCAGUAGAAGUUUUGUGGACCUCUCAAAAUGAAAACGACUCUUUACCAGAGCGAGUACCACUAGGCCUUUAUAAGAGCAUAUGGGAGGGUAAUGAACUGAGUUGGAUCUAAAAGUCCAUUUGUAUAUUAGAAAUUGUCUAUAGCACGCGGAAAUAUUACUUUAUCUGAGAUUUGAAUAGAUGGAAGUGUGAUUUAUAACAAAAUAUGUAUACGUUUAGACAAAGGUUUCUGAUUCACUUCCAAGUUUUGGAACUUGUUGAUGGUACUAAUUUGCAUAAUAAGAAUGCACCCUGGGCAUGAAAUUCAAUAUGCUUCUUUAACACAAUUAAGGUUGACGACAUAUUCUUAGAGAAACUCAAGAAAAGAGGAUCCAUAAGGAGGAUCCAUAUUCCAUACGUGUACUUAGGAGCAUUACAUACUUCUUAUUUUUGGAUGAGAGUACACCCUUUCUUUAAAAAUUGAUGUAAAUGUGAGGUGUAAUAAACUGACUAGUGUUGUAGUACUAGA